This 514-nucleotide long non-coding RNA is filed under the name Gallus gallus (chicken). Its description in RNAcentral is "long non-coding RNA NONGGAT004165". Lineage: Eukaryota; Metazoa; Chordata; Aves; Galliformes; Phasianidae. The record is from RNAcentral.
CAGAGUGGUCCAGAUGAGUGGGUGAAUGCUUGCAGGCCAGUACGGCUGUGUGCUCUGCUCUUUUAGGAGCUGGGCCACAGGCUGCUGACACUGGGUGUGGCAGUGGUGAUGUAACAGGAGCUUGCUGGGGCAGGGAGGUCCAGGGCUGAAGGAGAGCCACAACCUGGGGCUGGAGCUGUGAAGAUGCUCGUGGCCAUGCAGAAGACUUCUGCCCUGGAAUCUCCUGUGAGGUUGGCUGUGUCAUCUUGGCAAUGGGGCCACACAAUGAUCUCAGUGACAACAGAAAGUUACGGCAAAGUAAUGUGAUUUCUACUGAGGAGUUCUGCUACAAGGACUAAAUGUCUCAAUGAGCAUGCAAGUGUGAAGAGUGUGAAGAGUCUGUGCAAGACUGUCUUUCACGACAACAAGGCCACCUUCUGAUAUGAGAAGUUUUGCUUGGAAGAACAUUUAUUUUGAAGUGAAAUUACUGAAGGUCUAUGUGAGUUAGAACAUUCAGUGCAUUAUAUUAGCAACU